GACGAACGCUGGCGGCGUGCCUAAUACAUGCAAGUAGAACGCUGAAGGAGGAGCUUGCUUCUCUGGAUGAGUUGCGAACGGGUGAGUAACGCGUAGGUAACCUGCCUGGUAGCGGGGGAUAACUAUUGGAAACGAUAGCUAAUACCGCAUAACAGUAGAUAUCGCAUGAUAUCUACUUGAAAGGUGCAAUUGCAUCACUACCAGAUGGACCUGCGUUGUAUUAGCUAGUUGGUGAGGUAACGGCUCACCAAGGCGACGAUACAUAGCCGACCUGAGAGGGGGAUCGGCCACACUGGGACUGAGACACGGCCCAGACUCCUACGGGAGGCAGCAGUAGGGAAUCUUCGGCAAUGGACGGAAGUCUGACCGAGCAACGCCGCGGGAGUGAAGAAGGUUUUCGGAUCGUAAAGCUCUGUUGUAAGAGAAGAACGAGUGUGAGAGUGGAAAGUUCACACUGUGACGGUAGCUUACCAGAAAGGGACGGCUAACUACGUG
Molecule: ribosomal RNA, 495 nt
Filed under: uncultured bacterium
Lineage: Bacteria
Description: partial 16S ribosomal RNA
Rfam family: Bacterial small subunit ribosomal RNA
Source: RNAcentral